UGUUGUUUUGACAAGUCUUUAGGUGGAGGGCAGUUCAAAGCGGCAGCUAAAGCAGGGGUCUGGGAAGAGACGGAAGUCCCAGUGCUCAGAUCCAAAGGUCUACCAGAAUGGCUUAAUAUAAAUAGCUUAUUCCAGUGAAACAAUUCUCCUGCUAACUGAACAUCUUUUAAAGUGCUAUUUAAAAAUAUGUAAAAGUGGGAGAGCAACAGUCCUGAUCCAGCCCCAGCACAGCUUCAAUGAAGAAUUCCUGCAGAUCAACUCAGUGAUGAGAGGCAUUCUGUGAGCUCUUGAGGGCUUGCUGGUAAUCAGCCCUUCUUGAUAACUGGGCAAACCCUGAAUGCCUGAUCACCACCACAUAGACGUACUUCCUCAUCCAAGUGUGGUCAGAAGCGAGGAGGAGGAGAUCUACGCAAGCAUUAGCACAGAGCACAGAGCCGGGACAACUCCUUCCAGCCCCAGACACUGAA
Long non-coding RNA from Hemicordylus capensis (graceful crag lizard), 467 nucleotides. RefSeq lists it as uncharacterized. The transcript is spliced from 3 exons. The record is from RefSeq and is a predicted model, not a curated record. Lineage: Eukaryota; Metazoa; Chordata; Lepidosauria; Squamata; Cordylidae.